RNAcentral lists this signal recognition particle RNA (301 nucleotides) under Aotus nancymaae (Ma's night monkey). Its description in RNAcentral is "Metazoan signal recognition particle RNA (ENSANAG00000006394.1)". It matches the Rfam family "Metazoan signal recognition particle RNA". Rfam says of the family: The signal recognition particle (SRP) is a universally conserved ribonucleoprotein. It is involved in the co-translational targeting of proteins to membranes. The record is from RNAcentral. Lineage: Eukaryota; Metazoa; Chordata; Mammalia; Primates; Aotidae.
GCUGGGCGCGGUGGCAUGUGCCUGUAGUCCCAGCUACUCAGCAGGCUGAGGUGGGAGGAUCGCUUGAGCCCAGGAGUUCUGGGCUGUAGUGCACUAUACCGACUGGGUGUCCGCACUAAGUUCGGCAUCAAUAUGGUGACCUCCCGGGAGCAGGGACCACCACCAGGUUGCCUAAGGAGGGGUGAACCAGCCCAGGUCGGAAACGGAGCAGGUCAAGACUCCUAUGCUGAUCAGUAGUGGGAUUGAGCCUGUGAAUAGCCACUGCACUCUAGCCUGGGCAACAUAGCGAGGCCCCGUCUCU